GUGGUGACUAACGGGUGCGAGAGGUCGAUGGGAGUGAGCGACAGAGCGGAUGACAUGGAGGAACUUGCGAACCUCAACAUGCCGGCAUGGAAGAGGGAGGCGACAGACAGUAAGGUGGUGUUUACUGUUUAGGCUCUAGGGCUUUUUGGGAAGCAGCGAAAAAGGUGUGACAGGGCACCAAAAAUUUUCGUGGAUCCAAUUGAUAACCCUCAGCCGUUCAAAUUUUGUCAUGAAUCUAUG
RNAcentral lists this long non-coding RNA (240 nucleotides) under Elaeis guineensis (African oil palm). RNAcentral describes it as "long non-coding RNA (EGUI_LNC005684)". The record is from RNAcentral. Lineage: Eukaryota; Viridiplantae; Streptophyta; Magnoliopsida; Arecales; Arecaceae.